GAUCUUCUACAAUGCGACUAUUUCCACCUACACAUGCUAGAUGAAGGAGGGUGUCAUUGUUGUCAUCUCUUAGUUGUGAGAUCAGCUCCCUUUGACACGAGCAGGUCGA
Molecule: long non-coding RNA, 109 nt
Organism: Haliotis rubra (blacklip abalone)
Lineage: Eukaryota; Metazoa; Mollusca; Gastropoda; Lepetellida; Haliotidae
Exons: 2
Source: RefSeq, a predicted model, not a curated record